UAGGGAAUUUUCGGCAAUGGGCGAAAGCCUGACCGAGCAACGCCGCGUGAAGGAAGAAGGCCUUCGGGUUGUAAACUUCUGUUAUAAAGGAAGAACGUCUAUGACAGGGAAUGGUGAUAGAGUGACGGUACUUUAUGAGGAAGCCACGGCUAACUACGUGCCAGCAGCCGCGGUAAUACGUAGGUGGCGAGCGUUAUCCGGAAUUAUUGGGCGUAAAGAGGGAGCAGGCGGCAGGAAGGGUCUGUGGUGAAAGAGUGAAGCUUAACUUCAUAAAGCCAUGGAAACCGGCCAGCUAGAGUGAUG
RNAcentral lists this ribosomal RNA (303 nucleotides) under uncultured bacterium. Its description in RNAcentral is "bacterial SSU rRNA". It matches the Rfam family "Bacterial small subunit ribosomal RNA", at positions 355 to 651 of the family's 1533-position model. The record is from RNAcentral.